Long non-coding RNA from Trachemys scripta elegans, 202 nucleotides. RefSeq lists it as uncharacterized. Lineage: Eukaryota; Metazoa; Chordata; Testudines; Emydidae. The record is from RefSeq and is a predicted model, not a curated record. The transcript has 3 exons.
GUUUCUGUGAGGUUCACUGCAUUUUUGAAUUUACUCCUCUCUGUUAGAAACAACAUGGAUCUGUUGGCGUGUGGGGUUGAAAUGGUUACAGAAGUGGAAGGCCAUGGAGAAUCAGACCCCUCUCUCUAGCCUUGAAUGGUCAUGAGAUGAGGAUCCUCAUCUGCUGACUUCAAGAGUUGCAGGUAGACAACUGACACAGUGG